RNAcentral lists this ribosomal RNA (424 nucleotides) under uncultured bacterium. RNAcentral's name for it is "bacterial SSU rRNA". It matches the Rfam family "Bacterial small subunit ribosomal RNA", at positions 355 to 776 of the family's 1533-position model. The record is from RNAcentral.
UGAGGAAUAUUGCGCAAUGGAGGCAACUCUGACGCAGCCAUGCCGCGUGCAGGAAGAAGGCGCUACGCGUUGUAAACUGCUUUUAACCGGGAAGAAACCCCAGGACGUGUCUUGGGUUGACGGUACCGGAGGAAUAAGCACCGGCUAACUUCGUGCCAGCAGCCGCGGUAAUACGAAGGGUGCAAGCGUUAUCCGGAUUCAUUGGGUUUAAAGGGUGCGUAGGUGGGGCGAUAAGUCAGUGGUGAAAUCCUGCGGCUUAACCGUAGAAUUGCCAUUGAUACUGUCGCUCUUGAGUACGCUUGACGUGGGCGGAAUGUGCCGUGUAGCGGUGAAAUGCUUAGAUAUGGCACAGAACACCGAUAGUGAAGACAGCUCACGAAGGCGAAACUGACACUGAGGCACGAAAGCGUGGGGAUCGAACAGG